AAAAUAUGCUAUNACUUAGUCAGAAAGUGGAUUAUGAACUAUUAUUCAUUGUGUUAAAGGAUUAUUGGCUUCACAAUAUAAAAGUUUAUUUUAAAUGGUUUAUGUUUUUAGAAUGAAGCUGCCUUUAUUUCCAACUUUUAUUGUACAUAAUACUACAAUGAAUGUAUUUGCACAUGCAACUUUUUAUAUAUUUUAGUUAUUUUUUUCUUAAGACAAAUUCUGAAAAUGUAGUUGUUGGGUCAAUUCUUUUUUCUUCUUAGGAGAACAUAAGUCAUACUGGAUUAGGGCCUACCCUUGUGAUCAACUUAAUUUUAACUUAAUUCACUCUUUAAAAAUUCUGUCUCCAAAUACAGUCACAUUAUGAGGUACUGUGAAUUAGGAUUUCCAACAUAUGAGGUCAGGAUGUGAAGACACAAUCAGCCCAUAACAAUAAAUAAAUGUGUUAAACAAAUUAUGUUGAAUAUCAAGGAAAAAUAUGGCAGGAAGUUAGAUUAGGAAAUGUAACUUUAAAUACACUAGCAAGAAAUGUCUCUGAUAAAGUGACUGGAAGAAAGAAGAGGAAUAAGCUACAGAAUUAUCAGAAAAGAAAAAAAAGAAAAAGUAUUUCAAGCAGUAGACCAUCCAAUGCAAAGACACUGAAAAGAAAGCCACCAGCUAUGUUCCAGGAGGAGCCAGGGGAGCAGUGAGGAUGAUGCUAGUUAUUGGCAUGGACAUUGGUCAUAUGCUAGGGGCUACUUGCCUGACUCACAGGAGCAGGCAAUUAAACGUUUAAAGAAAUCUGUGUGCAAGUUGACAACAUAUCAGUAGCUUGAAAUUGGCUAUUAUUGAAGUAUUUACACCUCGGAAAUUGGCAAACACUACAAAUCAUAGUGUGUUCUCACCAGGGGACCCAGUUGUUAAACAUUUACAGUGCACCAGAGAGCCAGGGGGAGAGUUUCAGGAGGUGAGUUCAGAGAAAAGGCCAGGACAGAUCCUGUGGGCUGGAAAGCCAUUGCAAGGACAUGGGCCCUUUCCUAAGGAAAAUUCUUUAGGAGGACUUGAAGAGAAAGGGCACAUUAUUGCAUGUGUGUUUUAAAUAGAUCUCAAUGCAGUACAUAGGGGAAAUAGACUCACAAAGCAUAUGUCUGGAAGCCGGGAGAACAGAAAAAAAGGCUGUGGCUAGAAUUCAGGCAAGAAAGAACAGCUUCUCUACUCAGCAGGAAAGAACUGGUGCUGUCUGACAAGGAUUCAAUUCUGGAACGUUUAUUUUAUAAAUAGGGACACCAGCACAAAUUGGAGAAUGCGUGAGACUGGGAGGAGUGGAGGAUGACUUUGGGGAUUUUGUCUUGAGCCACAACAAGAGAAGAAAGGAGUACUCUCUGCAGAGAAGUUUGCUGGAGUCACUCAAGCUUGAGAUGAGUCACAAAGACCCCCAGAUGGAAUCACACAGUAGGUAUUUGGAUAAAUACACUUGAGUUUUAGAAGAGAGACCCAGAUACAUCUUAUAUCUCGAACACAAAUAUGCAUGGUCUUCAGAUGCAGAAUGAAACAAUACUAUACAUCCUCUAAUGAUGGUUUGCCAUCAUUAAUCACUAGAGGGCAAUAUAAACUAAUUUUCUCCUGUUUUACAGUCUUGAAAGAAGGGAUUAAACAAAUCUGAUAAAAUGAUGAAGAUUGUUAGGCCAAAAAGCCAGGUGUUCUAACCCAGAACGGAAUGUACAAGACACUACAUUUGAUGAUGUUGGCAUUCUUCAAUGUGGAAAACAUUUAUGUCAGGCCAUACCAAAUAGGAAGAUUUGAAGGCUGACAUGUUCAGAAUGAGCAGAAAUGUCAUUCUUUGCUGAAGUUCAACCCAACAUUUACUUACUAUGUUUAUUCAAGUGGUAGGCAAAAUGUUCCGUACUGUUUCUACAUGAGUUAAGGUACGUAUCAGUUAAUACUAGAGGAUCGUGGUCACCCAUGGCUCUUUUAUCCUCAGGAAACAGCAGAGCACAGUCACAGUGUGACAAAGGGCCCUUGAUACCCUUGGCACUCUCUUCACCUAGUUACAGUUUCCUAGAAAGGACGUGUAGGAUGAUCAGAGGUAACAAAUGUCCAAGAGAAUUUUUACCUCAGAGGCCACAUCGAAGGAAUGAUUAACCAUGUGUGAUACAUUAAAAGGUUAAACAUGAAGGAGGAACAGAAGAAAUGAGGGAGGAAGUCUCACAAUUACAGGGUGAUUUAUUAUCCAUAAAAAAAUAAAUAAAAGAAUAAGGGAGUGGUUGAUUUAUACAAGAUCUCUGGCCAGGAGCAGUGCCUUGAGAAGGGAACUGCUGGCAGCCAGACUGCUUGGCUCCUGACAUGCUGCCCAUAAGCUACAAGUAGCAAACAGCUCAGCCCUGCUCACCAGCCUCUGUAGUAAUUAAAAUGUCCCAGAGCAGCCUCUGAACUACAAGCACCUGUCCUUACGGUUGUAAUAAAGGGGGAGAGGGCAAAAGUAGUCUCAGAUCCUGGUUGGAUACCAAUUCUUCCCUCAGUGACCUUGGACAUGAGGUUGUGGGAAUGCAUCUGCAUGAACAAGGAAGAGAACCAGGCAAUGGAUCAAGGACGUAUUUUAUCCAACACAUGGCUCUGUGCUCAGCACACAAUGCCUGUGUUUACACCUACAGAGUGAUAGAAGCAAAGUCUCUACUGGCAGAAAUGCUUCUUUUUCUGAAAUCCUUGAAAGGUUCCUAGCAAUAUUAUAAGACAAAAACAGUUUUCAUUGGUUUGCUUUUCCCUGGAAGAAUCAAAGAGACUGACACUUCCCAUGAGUUCUGGGGUCAGGGUGAGGAGACCCAAACACUUCAAUAUGUGGUUGGGUAUUUUUUUCUUGGUAUAGAAAAAGGUAAACUUGUAGCAAAUAGGGUUGAGGAUAUGGCUCAGUGGUUAAACACCCCUGAGUUCAAUCUCUGGUACAAAAAAAAAAGAUUGCAGCAAAUAAAGUAAAAUGUUUAAAAAUAGUGCUAUGGUAGCUAUGUCAAUCAGACAACAAAUAGAGGAAAUUUAAAACCAUCAUGAUCAUCAUUCUAGAGUUUAAAAUUUGGUAUAUGUAAUAACAAACAAGCCUGAUUGUUUUAAGCUUCUUUUAGUAGUAGAAAAAAAAAAUUGCAUUCAAGUAAAAUCUUUCCUGUAACCCCAGUUACAAACCCAUAAAGGUGAAUGCUGCUUAGACUGAAGCAAAAAAAAAAAAAAAAAAAAAAAAGAAGUAGCUGAGCCCACAAGUCCCCACCAGGUAUUCCAUGUGACUGUCAUCAAGGUGCCAUCUUGCAAACUGUUUUUUUUUUUUUUUUCGAUGUAUGUUUUGGCUAAGAACAAAGUCCACUAGAUAAUGAAAGUAAUUUAAAAAUUUUUUUAAUCUUGAAAAACACACAUGAUUUCUUAAUCCAAACCAUCAGGGGCUGGGAGUGAGUAAAAAAGUGUUCCCCUUUCUGUAUGAAGAUAAGAAUUCAGAGUUUAUAUUUCAUAGCCAUGGCUCAACCAAUAUAUUCGCAAACUUGUACUUAAAAGUAAAUCCCAGAAUUCCUUGUGGAUUCCUCAUGGCUGGUCUCUGUACAAGUCACCAAGAUUAUAAACAAACAACUCAUUUUUCUUUCCCAAUGUCUGCAACCCAUUCACUUCCCACUAGCAUCAAUCUGUCUUGUUCUAAUCCCGCAUAAGAUAACUAAUCUUUAUUACUGAUUCUGAAACCAUCUAUAUCAUGACAACACUCUGCUCAGCCAUCUUCAGCACUUUCUGCCUUCCCCAAGUAAGGUCCCGACCAUCCUGCUAAGCACCCUUACUGCUCAUGUAGCCAAGGCAGCAUGGAUGGAAAGUGCAUCUAUGGGGACUAAGCUAGACUAGGGAAACCUGAGGCUGCACUGAGCCAGUAAAAGGGUUGCCUCAGCCAUCUGGGGAUAGAACGUGAAUUGAAUGGCUAAACCAUUCUCUAGGAGGCUAAAGUUUCUGAUGGAAAGAGAACACAACAGGCCAGAUCCAAGGACCAGCGACAGAAAGAGAAGGAGGAAGGAAGUCAGAAACAGGAGAGACAGGGGCAGGUGGGACAUGGUAAGGGAAGAGCCCUCAAAAGGGAGAGGCUUAAGACUGAGCCUGCACCUCUAAGAGUAUGUGGCAGCUCACUUCUAAGAAUUGAAACUAGAGACCUAAGUGGAACCCAGUCACUAUGGGAGAGCCACAGUCCCCAAGGAACCAUGUCAGGAGACCUAAGACACUCCAUGUGUUGAAAUGCAUUAAUAGAGACUGCAAGGGGCUGUGUCAAGGGGCCUGUGCUUCUGUGUCAAGCACAAAAAGAAUGUGAGCUGUCCUCAUGCACCUGUGAGAUGUGGUUUUCUAAGCACAGCCGAGCCACCAUUCCUCCAUAACUGUAUACAUGUUGUUCUCAGCCUCAGAUUCUCCUUUCUUACCAACUUUCCCACAAACUUCCACUAUGUCCAGACCAAAUUGAAAUCCUAUGGUGUUGAUGAAACCAUCUCUAAAGUGUCCCUUUUACCCAAUAUAAAGUUUCAGCAUGCUGCAAGGCAGAGACAUGCAGUACACAAAAUACAGCAAUGUCUCUUUAUUUGGAGGGAAUAUGUUCCAAAAUCCUCAGGAGAUGCAUGAAAGCUCAGAGUACCAAAUUAUCUCUGUAUUGUUUUUUUUUUUCUAUGCAAUCAUUCCUUUGUUUCCAUGGGGGACUGUCUUCAGUAACUCCUUCAGACACCAAAAUCCAUAAAUCCUCAAGUCCCUCAUAUAAAUUGUAUAGUAUUUGCAUGUAACCUAAGCACAUCCUCAUGUAUACCUUAAUUCCUCUUUAGAUUACUUAUAAUACCUGAUGCAAUAUAAACACUAUGUAAAUAGCUGUUGAACUAAAUGUUUAGGAAAUAAUGAGAAGGAAAAAGAUUGUGUAUUCAAUACAAUUUUGUGUAUGUGUGUAUGUGGUGGUUGGAAAGGACCUCACACGUGCUAGGCAAGAGCUCUCCCACUGAGCCCUGCAAUUUUUUAUUUAAUAUUUUCAAUCUAUGGUUGAUUGAAUUUGUGGCUACAAAACCCACAGAUAUGGAGGGCCAACUGUAUUUACAUACCUAUUAUAAAGUUUAAUUUAUAAAUUAGGCAUAGUAAAAUAUUAACCAAAAUAACUACUAAUAAAAUAUUUUAAAAAGUAUAACAAUACACUAGAAAACAAGAUAUUUAUACCUUAUUGUUUAUUACUGAAACUUUCUAUUUAAUAAUUUUAGAUUGCAGUUGACCAUAGGAAACUCCAAGUACAGAAAGUAAAAUCACAGUUGAGGAGAUACAAUGUGCUUACUUUACACAAUUGCUUUAGGAAAAACAUUAAAUACUGUAUAAUUAAGCUGAUUCAAAACCAGCCCUGGAUUUCAGAUGGAGGUACAGAUUUAACAGUCUUCAGUAUAAAUAUGGAAACUAGAACUAAGGUGAUAUUUUCCUGUAAGGGUAGGUAUGUAGAGGGAAACAGGGCCAAAGAGAUUUGGGGGUUCCAUGUAAGGAUCUGUUACUGAACCAAACACCAUCAAAGGACAAAGUAGAGAGGUCAGCAAGGGGAAGGUAAGGAAAGCCUGGCUUCAUGAGGAGUGUGUUUCCAUUAGUGGAGCAUAGAGUGUCAUUAAAGAGAGGCAGAGGGCAUUGAAAAUGUUCACAAAGGAUAUUUUAAUGUUUUUUUUUUUCUUACAUGAAGAAAUUUUAAUAGAGGAGAGGGGCCUAUGUGAUAAGGUUUUGAGGAGAUAGGGAUACACAGAAGACAGGUCAGUAUCUAGAUGACAUGGGUUGAAAAAAAUUGGACAAGAAAAGGAGUAAGCUGAGAGGGUGGAUAUCCAAUUGACCAAGCACAGUGCUGGUACAAAUAAAAAAUUGUGAUGCGGUCUCUGGAGAUUUUCUUAUCAUUGUCUCAGUUCAAAUAAAAACACCACUUUUUCUAUGAGCCCACCACAGAUUUGNACAUAUGCCUACUCUAUUAUUCCUAGAUAUACCACAAAGGGGAACAAUCGUACAUGUCCACUGAAGCACACAAACUAGAAUGGGGCUAGCAUCUUUACUUAAACAGUCAACAACUAGAGUCAACCCAAAAGCAAACCAAGACUAGGCUAGAUAAGUAAUUUGGAAUAUAUUUAUACAAUGGAAUAUUGCAGAGCAGUACAGAGUACAAAGAACUAUAACUACAUGGACAAAGCCACAGCAAGAGGAAACUACAUGCAAAGGAAUACAUAGGUUCCUCUGGUGAACAGAUAGGGAAGGGGUACAAAGGAACCAUUCAGAGUAUUAGAAAUGCUCUCUGUUCUAUAUCUGGGUUUACAGUGUACGAACACAGGUACAUACAUUUCUUAAGACUCAGGAAACUCUAUAAGAACUGUGCACUUGAUAAUAUGUGUGACAUCUAACAAAAAUAAAAAUAAAAAGUAAAAAAGCUUAAUUAGAUGAUCAGUGGGAGUUAUAGAAUGAAACCAAGAUUUUAUUAGAAGAACAAGACCUGUUCCAUUGAAAACAGAACCCUGAAGAGAUGAACCAUGAAAUGUCAUGAGAUCAGAAGCCCCUACCAGGCAGAAGCCAUUUAUUUUUAUUUUUUAAAUUUUUUUUAAGUUGUCUGGACCUUUAUUUAUUUAUUUAUUUAUUUAUUUAUGUGCUGCUGAGAAUUGAACCCAGUGCCUCACAUAUGCUAGGUAAGCACUCUACCACUGAGCCACAACCCAGCCCCCAGAAGCCAUUUCUAAUGUAGCAUGAUGCACCCAAUGCAUAGACAAGUUUCUGAAACAUAGUAGGGCCUCAUUAAAUAUAUAGUAAUUAAUAAACAGGGUUAAUAAACCAAAAGAGAUCUAAUUAAGUAACACAAAGCAGUAGUGUUUUGAGAUUAAGAAGUUAGUUCAAACCAGUAGGAGAAACAACAAGCAAAAAUAGUGCUUUGGUAGCUUGCUCGCUCCCUCUCUCUUCAUAUGAAUUAGUUUUUCUUUUAAUGAGUUUAUUCUUUGUAGUAAAAUUGAGGCUCAUAUUCGUGGCUCCAAUACAACUUGACUCAAUUUUUAUAAAUCUGAUACAUUUGGGAAACCUUGUAAACUAAGUUUUAAUUCAAUCCGGAAAUACUGGAUUUGGGCCAAAAAUCAAUGAUACCAAAAUGAACAACAGUAUACUGAAACUACAGUAAGGGAUGGAUAAAGGCCGCCUUUGUCAAACUUCUCCAACUUAGUAAAACCUGCUUAGCAGGGAGAGUGUGGAAACUUGGACAGAAAAUCCUCCCAUGUUGCCAGUUUCCAUCUAUUACAGAAAAUGGUUAUUUAACACAGUACAGGUGGAAUAAUCCCAAUUAAUGUUUCCCACAUGCUACAACUUGGAGAAAUAACAUCUCAUCCAAUGACACAGUGUUAUCCAAUUGUCUGUGAAAAGCUGUUUAAUGACCGGAACUAUCGCAUUGUCAUACGGAAAAGCCACUUGUAAAUAUUAUGUUUAUUUGGUUUUCUAUCUUUUCGGGCUCCAGUGUGUAAAUUGUACAAUCUCAGUGACCACACCUACACAAUCAGCUCAGAACCGUCAGGGCCACGGUCAUAUAUAGCAGGGAGGUAGGGUUGGCAAACAGUCUCAACCCAUGGGACUCUCACUGAGAAGCACGAGCAUCUCAUUGCAGUGGCUGCUGAAGUGGGCCACUUCCAGGCUCAGGAGAAAAGUGAGGCUUGAUGAACUAAUGAAACCUGCAAGAGCAAUGGGACAGCUGGGUGAGAAUGGAUGCCACCUCUGGUACUCCCUGGUACUGCCACAAGGACAAGACUGAAAACAGGUGGCAUGAUUCUAAAGAAGUUCUAGAAAGAAGACUGUGAGGGAGGAGUAUAUGGCCAAUUGUGUAUGACCUCUCAAGAUUCUUUUUGUCCUUGCCAAGUCUUCUCGAUUCAGGGGUCUUUGUCACCAGUCUUCAAGGGGAAAUUUUCUUGUAUGUGUGAGCCCAAUACUGAUCUGUUUAAAGAAGUCCCAUUAACCAAAAACUACAAGAGGUUGAUACAAAAAUCAGAUACCAACUUAAUAAAUAAUGGCAAGAUGUAUCGAUAUCAAGAAGUGAUAUUAAUCACAUCCAAUAGGAAGUUUCCUUGGUCCUAUGAUGAAAGCCUAUAUCAUAACCAGAAAAACGGAGCCAGAGUCAGUUUGAAGGCAAAGGUGUUAGAGUUCACAUAGCUUAAGGCCACCAUUUCCCCCUGUUGACACCGAGCAUACAGGUCAGACACCAUCUCCUCUGCACAAAGCUGGAGAGAUUUGACCAAGUCUGACCCUGAGGCCCCCAUACAGGGCAUGCAUGGAACUGCUUCUUCUAUUAAAUCUUCUUGCACAGAUGUUAACAGGACCCAGAGUUUUGUACAUGCAGACAUGUCUAUCCUUCAGGACAACUUCUGUAGGCCCUUGGGCUCACAUUUUUUAUUGAUUUUAUUUGCUGAAUUCUCAAGGUGUGACUUAGGAGCAACUCAUAGUAAUCAUACACUAUAAAUUGUCCACAAUUUCCUCUUCAAUCCAAUACUAAGUAGCUCUGGGAUUGGGUCAAGUCAAUUUACCUUGGAGACCAAAGCUAUGUAAUCUAUGAAAUUUUAGCAUACAGUUUAGAAUUUAGACAAAAUAGCUAAAGGUCAAUGAUCUUAAGGAGAAAUACUUGCAUAUUCCUACAAUACAGGAUUUGCACAGAUACCACUGGAGUUGUACUCCAUUUCUUCUUGGAACAAUUCCUGUGAAUUUUCUGUUCAGACUCUCUCUACCAGUUAAACUGCACAUGAGGUAAUUCACUUCUUGUCAUACAAUGAUUCCUUAGAUCAGUUUGGAAAUUUCCAGCCUACAAAAUAUUGCUGCUUCAUAGCAAUUAUGUAAGGUAUUCAUUAUCAUCAUCCCUAUUUUACAGAUUACAAAAGGUCACAUCAGAAGUUUUAAAUGAUGUGUCCAAGUUUCUAGCCCUGAUAAUUACAAGCUGUGGGUCAGAUCUGGAGAAUUCCAGCUUCAAAUCCUGUGUUUUUGCCGGUAAGCAAAGGAUAUGCCGUUCUGUUGUGUUUGCCUUUUCACAAUUUAUAGGCAGUUGCGGCCCAAUUUGUUUUUGUAUCAUUUGGCUUUAAAUCAGUACAGUCAGUAUGUACAGAAAACAAGAUUUAAAUUUAUAAAGUCAUAAAAUAGAGCUCAGUGUACAUUCCACACAUGUCACCCAGACACGGGGCUGCUCCACACUUGGGAAAGAUUCGCUAAUGCAACAAGAAAUUGCUGUACAGGCCCCUGAGUAUCUGGAGUUCCGGAAGGGAAGGAUGCCAACCAAACUCGACACCAGGGAUCCCAUACGUUCUUCCUUGUGGACUGAAACUCAACACCUGCCUUCACAAUGCACAGCAGGCCUAUCCUUUUCCUUAUUUGGAAGGUGCUACCACAGUGUGGACUUGAAACCUGAUCAGCCCUGCUGCUGGACAGGCUGUAUUGUGUUUCCUGGUAACAUCAGAUCCAGAGACCACAGACACUCUGGGUGCCUCUGUGCUCCGUAUUCUAGAAAGUUCAAUUUGGGAAUCUCUAACUUUGAGACCACUGUCUGAAUAUGCUUCACUGUACGCACUGAUGACUAUAAGACAGCUAACCAGGAAGUGUUGCCCAGCAGUUACUGCUGAAGCAAAAAGCAGGAUAGUGAAUAUCUUUUCUCCUUGUUUUAUCUCAUCAAUGUAAACUUAUUAGUCAAUUAAUAACUACUUCUCUUCAAUCAAAUCUAUUUCUCUUUCUUUGGAAAUGGGCCUAAAUUGCACAUGAGAAAGAGGAAUGGAGUUUAAUUACUAUAUCUUGGGCCAGAGAAGUCAGAGAUCCCAUGUCCUGUUAUCUUCUCCAAUUUCCUCCCAUCGAAGGGAAGAGAGAGAUAAUUUGUAACCUGUGCCCAUUCAGAAAUACACAUGUAAAAUAAAAGUUAAAUGUCCAGAUAUCAGUGAGGUCUGAGACGGGAAAAUCUUUCCAUCUAUUGCCAGAGCUGAGGAGGGAAGGUACAGAAAUUAGUGGAGAUCAAGGACAAUCACUUGCAUUAUUUCUUUUCUAUUUUUCCAUUUGCUGUCAUAGUAAAGAAUUAAAUUCCCUGCUUUUUCAGGGCUUAAUAUUCUCAGGAAAAUAUCUUAUUCAUAUGAUAGACUAAUUCAGGUAAAGGCAUAUAAAGCACAUUAUAACCAAGUUUUAAUUAUAAUUUUAUUUUUCAAAUUAUCCUGGCCAUUUAAAGUUUCAUCUGAUUGGCGGGCUAUAAGAACUAAAUCAAAAUAUCUGUUGCAGAUACAUUUAGCAUAAAGCAAAUAUUUAAAAGGAAUUUUGCAUGUAUUAAUUGCUGAUUCUUUCAUAUGCCAACAUAAUUGUUAAUAUGAACAACUAACAUUAUGCUUAGAAUGAUUCCAUAUGACUGCCUUGUCCUUUUUAAUUUUUGCAACUCAGGGGAUUAAACCCAAGGAUUUGCACCUGCUGGGUAAGUGCUCCACCACUGAGCUACAUCCUCAGCCUCACUGGCAUUUUUAUCAUCCCAUUUUAUAGAUGGAAACUGGGGCUUCUGUGGAGACCUCUGAUUCACAAACCACUACUUGUGAUGAGGGGCUAGUUUGCAGAGCAAUAGUUUCCCUCUGGAAGUUAUAUGCAAUUGUACAAUUGUUUUAAGAUUAAUAUUUUAACAGACAAUCUUGAAUGUGGGGGUUCUGGAUUAUUGACUAACUAUACCCACUAACAAUUCUAUUUUUCUACAUGUAGUAGGCAUGCCGUGAAUGACCAAAUAAACUUCC
Molecule: long non-coding RNA, 10724 nt
Filed under: Marmota monax (woodchuck)
Lineage: Eukaryota; Metazoa; Chordata; Mammalia; Rodentia; Sciuridae
Source: RNAcentral